GUCGAGCGCGCCUUCGGGUGAGCGGCGGACGGGUUAGUAACGCGUGGGAACGUGCCCUUCUCUACGGAAUAGCCUCUGGAAACGGAGAGUAAUACCGUAUACGCCCUUUGGGGGAAAGAUUUAUCGGAGAAGGAUCGGCCCGCGUUAGAUUAGGUAGUUGGUGGGGUAACGGCCUACCAAGCCUACGAUCUAUAGCUGGUUUUAGAGGAUGAUCAGCAACACUGGGACUGAGACACGGCCCAGACUCCUACGGGAGGCAGCAGUGGGGAAUCUUAGACAAUGGGGGCAACCCUGAUCUAGCCAUGCCGCGUGAGUGAUGAAGCCUUAGGGUCGUAAAGCUCUUUCGCCUGUGAUGAUAAUGACAGUAGCAGGUAAAGAAACCCCGGCUAACUCCGUGCCAGCAGCCGCGGUAAUACGGAGGGGGUUAGCGUUGUUCGGAAUUACUGGGCGUAAAGCGCGCGUAGGCGGAUUAGAAAGUUGGGGGUGAAAUCCCGGGCU
RNAcentral lists this ribosomal RNA (498 nucleotides) under uncultured Alphaproteobacteria bacterium. Its description in RNAcentral is "bacterial SSU rRNA". It matches the Rfam family "Bacterial small subunit ribosomal RNA", at positions 61 to 609 of the family's 1533-position model. The record is from RNAcentral. Lineage: Bacteria; Pseudomonadati; Pseudomonadota; Alphaproteobacteria.